CACCGCGGUUAUACGAGAGGCCCAAGUUGAUAACAAUCGGCGUAAAGAGUGGUUAUGAAUAAACCCUGUAAAACUAAAGCCAAAUGCCCCCAGAGCUGUUAUACGCCCCCGGAGGCCAGAAGCCCAACCACGAAAGUGGCUUUAUAUUAUCUGACCCCACGAAAGCUAUGAUA
RNAcentral lists this ribosomal RNA (173 nucleotides) under Bodianus anthioides (lyretail hogfish). RNAcentral describes it as "partial 12S rRNA". The record is from RNAcentral. Lineage: Eukaryota; Metazoa; Chordata; Actinopteri; Labriformes; Labridae.